RNAcentral lists this ribosomal RNA (33 nucleotides) under Trichoderma virens. RNAcentral describes it as "partial 28S ribosomal RNA". The record is from RNAcentral. Lineage: Eukaryota; Fungi; Ascomycota; Sordariomycetes; Hypocreales; Hypocreaceae.
UGAACUUAAGCAUAUCAAUAAGCGCAGGAAGCU